UUUUUAGGUUUUUUUUUUUUCGCUCAGGAUGAACGCUAGCGGGAGGCCUAACACAUGCAAGCCGAGCGGUAGAGAUUCUUCGGAAUCUUGAGAGCGGCGUACGGGUGCGGAACACGUGUGCAACCUGCCUUUAUCAGGGGGAUAGCCUUUCGAAAGGAAGAUUAAUACCCCAUAAUAUUUUGAAUGGCAUCAUUUAAAAUUGAAAACUCCGGUGGAUAGAGAUGGGCACGCGCAAGAUUAGAUAGUUGGUGAGGUAACGGCUCACCAAGUCUGCGAUCUUUAGGGGGCCUGAGAGGGUGAUCCCCCACACUGGUACUGAGACACGGACCAGACUCCUACGGGAGGCAGCAGUGAGGAAUAUUGGACAAUGGGUGCGAGCCUGAUCCAGCCAUCCCGCGUGAAGGACGACGGCCCUAUGGGUUGUAAACUUCUUUUGUAUAGGGAUAAACCUAGAUACGUGUAUCUAGCUGAAGGUACUAUACGAAUAAGCACCGGCUAACUCCGUGCCAGCAGCCGCGGUAAUACGGAGGGUGCAAGCGUUAUCCGGAUUUAUUGGGUUUAAAGGGUCCGUAGGCGGAUCUGUAAGUCAGUGGUGAAAUCUCACAGCUUAACUGUGAAACUGCCAUUGAUACUGCAGGUCUUGAGUGUUGUUGAAGUAGCUGGAAUAAGUAGUGUAGCGGUGAAAUGCAUAGAUAUUACUUAGAACACCAAUUGCGAAGGCAGGUUACUAAGCAACAACUGACGCUGAUGGACGAAAGCGUGGGGAGCGAACAGGAUUAGAUACCCUGGUAGUCCACGCCGUAAACGAUGCUAACUCGUUUUUGGAUUUUCGGAUUCAGAGACUAAGCGAAAGUGAUAAGUUAGCCACCUGGGGAGUACGUUCGCAAGAAUGAAACUCAAAGGAAUUGACGGGGGCCCGCACAAGCGGUGGAUUAUGUGGUUUAAUUCGAUGAUACGCGAGGAACCUUACCAAGGCUUAAAUGGGAAAUGACAGGUUUAGAAAUAGACUUUUCUUCGGACAUUUUUCAAGGUGCUGCAUGGUUGUCGUCAGCUCGUGCCGUGAGGUGUUAGGUUAAGUCCUGCAACGAGCGCAACCCCUGUCACUAGUUGCCAUCAUUAAGUUGGGGACUCUAGUGAGACUGCCUACGCAAGUAGAGAGGAAGGUGGGGAUGACGUCAAAUCAUCACGGCCCUUACGCCUUGGGCCACACACGUAAUACAAUGGCCAGUACAGAGGGCAGCUACACGGUGACGUGAUGCAAAUCUCGAAAGCUGGUCUCAGUUCGGAUUGGAGUCUGCAACUCGACUCUAUGAAGCUGGAAUCGCUAGUAAUCGCGCAUCAGCCAUGGCGCGGUGAAUACGUUCCCGGGCCUUGUACACACCGCCCGUCAAGCCAUGGAAGUCUGGGGUACCUGAAGUCGGUGACCGUAACAGAAGCU
This 1438-nucleotide ribosomal RNA is filed under the name Chryseobacterium nakagawai. Its description in RNAcentral is "bacterial SSU rRNA". It matches the Rfam family "Bacterial small subunit ribosomal RNA". Lineage: Bacteria; Pseudomonadati; Bacteroidota; Flavobacteriia; Flavobacteriales; Weeksellaceae. The record is from RNAcentral.